RNAcentral lists this ribosomal RNA (492 nucleotides) under uncultured bacterium. Its description in RNAcentral is "partial 16S ribosomal RNA". It matches the Rfam family "Bacterial small subunit ribosomal RNA", at positions 29 to 507 of the family's 1533-position model. The record is from RNAcentral.
AGUGAACGCUGGCGGUAGACCUAACACAUGCAAGUCGAACGGCAGCACAGUAAGAGCUUGCUCUUACGGGUGGCGAGUGGCGGACGGGUGAGGAAUACAUCGGAAUCUACUUUUUCGUGGGGGAUAACGUAGGGAAACUUACGCUAAUACCGCAUACGACCUACGGGUGAAAGCAGGGGAUCUUCGGACCUUGCGCGAUUGAAUGAGCCGAUGUCGGAUUAGCUAGUUGGCGGGGUAAAGGCCCACCAAGGCGACGAUCCGUAGCUGGUCUGAGAGGAUGAUCAACCACACUGGAACUGAGACACGGUCCAGACUCCUACGGGAGGCAGCAGUGGGGAAUAUUGGACAAUGGGCGCAAGCCUGAUCCAGCCAUACCGCGUGGGUGAAGAAGGCCUUCGGGUUGUAAAGCCCUUUUGUUGGGAAAGAAAAGCAGCAGGUUAAUACCCCGCUGUUCUGACGGUACCCAAAGAAUAAGCACCGGCUAACUUCGUG